Molecule: ribosomal RNA, 400 nt
Filed under: uncultured bacterium
Lineage: Bacteria
Description: bacterial SSU rRNA
Rfam family: Bacterial small subunit ribosomal RNA
Source: RNAcentral
GGGGAAUAUUGGACAAUGGGGGCAACCCUGAUCCAGCAAUGCCGCGUGAGUGAUGAAGGCCUUAGGGUUGUAAAGCUCUUUUAGUAGGGAAGAUAAUGACGGUACCUACAGAAUAAGUUCCGGCUAACUUCGUGCCAGCAGCCGCGGUAAUACGAAGGGAACUAGCGUUGUCCGGAUUUACUGGGCGUAAAGGGCGCGUAGGCGGUUACAUAAGUUAGAAGUGAAAGCCCCAGGCUUAACCUGGGAACUGCUUUUAAUACUGUGUAACUAGAGUUCGGCAGAGGAUAGUAGAAUUUCCAGUGUAGAGGUGAAAUUCGUAGAUAUUGGAAGGAAUACCAGUGGCGAAGGCGGCUAUCUGGACCGAAACUGACGCUAAUGCGCGAAAGCGUGGGGAGCAAAC